AACAGAUUUGGUCUUAGUCCUUACUUUGGCUUUUUCUAAAAUGAUACAUGCGAGCAAAUCAGCGAUACCGUGAGGAAAUAAACAUCUCCCUAACUUUAAGAAAAGAUAUUAUUUAACAUCAGGCACUCUCUUAUAGCCAACGACGUUUAGCCUUCCACACCUGCAGUACUUAACAUUGUACAAUAAAAGAAAACUUGAUACAGUUAUAGAAAACAGGGCCAGUAAAUUAUGUGCCAGCCACCGCGGUUAUACAUAAAGUCCAAGCCAAAACCCUAACCGGUAUAAAAGUGGUGUGGGAAAGUUAUACCAGAGCAGACACUAACUCAAGCAGUAGCAAGCUUUUACAGAAUACUUAUAACAAACCUAAACCAGCUCUGGCUACCCCUAAUAAACCACGAAAACUCAAAAAUAAACUGGGAUUAGAUACCCCACUAUAUGAGUCGUAAACAAUUAAAAACGCCAGAAAACUACGAACUAAAGUUUAAAACUCAAAAGACUUGGCGGUUUUUUAGAUCUCCCUGGAGGAGCUUGCCAUCAAAUCGAUAACCCACGAAAUACCUCACCAGCUCUUGAUAAACUCAACUUGUAUACCAUCGUCGUCAGUUUACCUCCCAAGAGAGUAUACUUAAAGAACAAUAACUCUUUACGCCAGAUCAAGGUGCAGUAAAUGAGCUGGGGAUGAGUGAGCUACAAUAAUUUAUUCACUUUAACAUAAAACCAAUUGUGGAUCUCAAUAUGAAAAAAAACUUGAAAUAGGAUUCAGCAGUAAUACUUAAAAGAAAAUAAGUAUGAAACUAGCUCUAAAAUGCGCACACAUCGCCCGUCACUCUCCUCAACCUAGAAGAGAAAAGUCGUAACAAAGUAGGCUUAUUGGAAAAUGUGCCUGGAUUAUA
Molecule: non-coding RNA, 893 nt
Filed under: Ophidiaster granifer
Lineage: Eukaryota; Metazoa; Echinodermata; Asteroidea; Valvatida; Ophidiasteridae
Source: RNAcentral